CCUACGGGGGGCAGCAGUGAGGAAUAUUGGUCAAUGGUCGGGAGACUGAACCAGCCAAGCCGCGUGAGGGAGGAAGGUCCAGAGUAUCGUAAACCUCUUUUGUCAGGGAACAAAGGCGGGGACGUGUCCCCGGAUGAGUGUACCUGAAGAAAUAGCAUCGGCUAACUCCGUGCCCGCAGCCGCGGUAAUACGGAGGAUGCGAGUGUUAUCCGGAUUUAUUUGGUUUAAGGGGUGCGCAGGCGGUCUGUUAAGUUAGCGGUAAAAGCCCGGGGCUCAACCCGGGCCCGCCGUUGAAACUGGGGGUCUCGAGUGGGAGAGAAGUAUGCGGAAUGCGCGGUGUAGCGGUGAAAUGCAUAGAUAUCGCGCAGAACUCCGAUUGCGAAGGCAGCAUGCCGGCUCCACACUGACGCUGAGGCACGAAAGCGUGGGGAUCGAACAGGAUUAGAUACCCCAGUAGUC
RNAcentral lists this ribosomal RNA (459 nucleotides) under uncultured bacterium. RNAcentral's name for it is "partial 16S ribosomal RNA". It matches the Rfam family "Bacterial small subunit ribosomal RNA", at positions 338 to 795 of the family's 1533-position model. The record is from RNAcentral.